GGUUAAUUUGGGGCGUUGAGUAUUCAUAGCUUAUCGAAAAGCAACUGGAAAUCGUUUUGUAUGCAAGUGAAGCUUUUGUGUGAAGCUUUUGUGACAUGUGUGGAGAAGAACCCCUUAGCUAGCCUUCCAUUAUCCAUUCAACCCAAAUUUGUUUAAAAUCUAUUUAAGUUUUUAGUUUAUUCGUUUUUACUUUCAACUUCACCAAACUCAAAUCCCCCUUUUACUUUCUUGUUUUAAAAUCUUUUGUUUACAUUUUUAACUUUGUUUCUUUUUGUUUUUGAGUCAGUUUAGAGGUUUUAGCAAGCCCUCCUAAUCCCCGGUUUAGAACGAUCCCUACUUACAUACUUUGCUACAAUUGUCAAAAAGAGGGUUUAAUUUGUGUGUCAAGUAAUUCUCGCAUC
RNAcentral lists this small RNA (401 nucleotides) under Malus domestica (apple). RNAcentral describes it as "sRNA MD15G0294100". The record is from RNAcentral. Lineage: Eukaryota; Viridiplantae; Streptophyta; Magnoliopsida; Rosales; Rosaceae.